GGGAAUGUAGCUCAGUGUGGUAGAGCGUCCGCUUUGCAUGUGAAAGGUCCCGGGUUCGAUCCCCGGUAUCUCCA
Non-coding RNA from Cordylochernes scorpioides, 74 nucleotides. NCBI's taxonomy places the organism in Eukaryota, Metazoa, Arthropoda, Arachnida, Pseudoscorpiones, Chernetidae. The record is from the annotation of a GenBank genome assembly.